GAGACUGGUUUCGACAAACAGACUCAUUUUGAAGGAUGAACUCAUUAGCAAAACACUGAUAGCACAGCUUGAGUCCUUUGAACAAUCCAACCAGCUGGGAGAUUAAUAUUUUUGUGUGUUUCGUCUUGUUUUGGCUUGACUCGUGACCAACAGAAACUCCAUUUAUUGUGUACAUAGGAACUCAUGAUGAGUUUAACUCCGUACACUGAGAGAAAAAAUUAAAGAAUGCAGAAAAUUGGAAAACAAACUACAUAACAUGAAAUUAUUACAUAACAGCUUUCGUUUGAAUUGUCACACACAAAGGCCAUUUUGUUUCCAUUCCACGUGAGCUCUAGUCGCCAUGAAAAACUUGCUUACUUUCCAGCUAAUAUCUCAGCAAUAAAAAAAAGCUAUUAGAAUUUGUUACUAUGUCUAAGAAUGGUUAUUUUCCCUUCCCUGCCCCUCAUCCUGGCUACAUUCGUUGUUUCUGUUUUCUCACUUCAAGUUUUAGUUUCCUGUGAGCCAAUAUCGUUUCCUUUGCUGACACUUCGUUUUCAUGAUAUAGCUUUGCUUUUCUCUUGUCUUGUUUGUCUGGAAUUGAACCAAGAGAGAGCUUCGUUUCUUGUGGUUGUUAGUUAGUUCCUCAGCCAAAUCUUGUUAUUGCUUAGUAUUAUAUAAAUUGAAAAAUAAAGAAAUAAGGAAAACAUCGUAAGUAAACUUAGGAAACCCAAACUCGCACACGACAUCGCCAAAAUAGGUGCGCCCCAGGAGCCCAUGACCCUGGGCUCCUAGUUCACCCUUGUUUCAGUCUGGGUUUUUCCCUCUUUUUUUUUUUUUAAUUUAUUCUUUUAAACUAUUCUCGGAGUUUUACGCCCUCUAAACAAAAUUAAUGUUCCGCAGCUUGUCAUUUGGCGUGGCUCGUGUUUAAGGCACGUGUACAUUUGCACGCGCUGAAUUUACUUUAAUUGUCAUAUCUUUGGAAUGUUUGUUGUGACAGUAUCUACUAUGUAUAGCCUCUAUCUUGUGAGAUAUAAAAUCUUGAACAUUCGCUGAGCCAACGAAAUGUUAUGUUAUGGUUGUGCUAUUCUCAUAUCUUUCCUCAUUCGUUGCGGAAAAGGCCAGAAAUCUUUAACUGCGCAAGGUUUAAUCCAUUCUACCUCUUUAAAUGACAAAUGAAGACGUUGAGCAACGUUCAAAGACAGAUUAAGAGCGGGCUUAAAAACUGUCGUGUAAAAAACAAGAAAAAAAAUAGUGUCUCGAAAUUGACACUGGCUUAAGGAUGGCAGUUGUGAAAUUUUAGAAUUUCUUCCGCAAGUUUGUCGGUGGAAUUUUUCACGUACGGUAUAUCGCGUUACGUUGUGUGGUAACAAGCAUUUAUGGUAAUAUUUCACACGAUAUGCUUGUUGAUCGUCAAAGAAAGUUUGCGGGCAAGAUUAGGAAUCAUUUAAAAAACGCCUCAGGGUUUUGUGAGGUUCUUGCAGUUUAUGCAGCCUCAAGGAAAUGCAAACGGUUUAAUUCUCUUUCCAUGUUGUCGGACAUUUAGUCCUGGCAAUGUGGUAACACAUCAAGAAAAUGAUUUUAGUUGAGCGCCCUUCACAGUGUUGGUAAUACUUGGAGAAAUUACGCAUCGUUUAUUAGUGAUUUGCUUAAUCCAGAUUAUGAACACUACUUUAAAGAGCCCUUUUUCUCUUAAGUAUUUCCGUUCGCGUGGAAGAUCUAUGGAAAAGAUGAUAGGAAGGACUGGCGAAACAAUAUAGCAAGAAAUUAAUGUAUUUCCGGUGCAUUGAAAAGAAAACAAUAAAAUUGUUCCUUAUCGGUCUUUUUCAGCAAUUAAUCAAAUGUUUGUCGCUCAUGGCUGAUUUUAAUGUAGAGUUGUGGUAUAUAGGCCUAGUUUGAAAGAAAUCUGUUUAAAAUGUCAAAGAUUCACCGAACAAGUCUCUCUUUUAUCGUGUCGUGGUCGGAAGUUUUCAAAAGUCAACAAAAAAAUUUGCACAGUCAAAUAUCGAUGUUCCAGAGUGCAGAAUAUGUCAAAACAACUUCAAAAUAAACAUCUUUUGUGUUGAGGCAGUGGACUGUAAAAUGGCUUCAGGGCUUCGUAAGCACUUUAAUUAAAGCCGUAAAAUGUAUUUCCAAUGAACACAGUUUGUGUAAACUUAGCUUGUGUAGGUUUUUAUUGGCCUUGAGCGAUGUUACAAACAUAAAUUCAACAUGUCUCUAUCCAUUUUGUGUUACCUUUAUUGCGUUUUGUAAGCUCGUAGACAACGCAACAACUUGCCUUGAAUAAUUAAGAUACAAGACUCGACUUGAACUGAUGAAGAAGGGACAGUGUUUUAUAUCUCGUGAGCUGGUUUUAUACUCUUAUCUUUCAAAAAAGCCUAUAAUCCCGACUGUUUUUGUUUUACAAAGUAAACUAAAACAAUUAAAAGGUUUUAUCUCUUGCUAUCAAUAGAUGUAUAGUUUUGUCUGUGGUGAAAGAAAACCGCAAUAUUUUCUACCCGCCAAUUUGUGCAGUCACAAGACAACAAUUCUUGUUUUGGAAUUGCGGCAACGAGCAAUGUUUUUCAAAAGACUGCCCUUGUGUUGCGCCAGGCUGUCACCUGCUCAGUUGUUUGCCCACUUGAAAUACCAUUUGGUGAAUGUAUUCAAAUCCCUUUUUCUUGAUAAUUAAACCCGCUGUUCGGCUCUUUUUGUCGCUAUUUUACCACCGUAAUUUCAUCCUAUUUAUGAGUAGCCGACGCCGAAUUUCCCGCCUUCAUCUUUCAGCGACAAAACGGCAGUCGGCUUUAAAGAAAAACGUUUAUUCAACGAGUGAUUGAGUACACGAUUGAAAUUGGUUUCCCGGCAGUUUUUGAUUAAAUCCGUUGUCUUGUUGAGAACAAUACUCUAGCAGCUAAUAUAUACAGUUUACUAAACUUUCUGUAACCACAGUCAUUUUCUUAUCCGGGAACGACGAUUCGUAAUAGUUUUAAUGGCUUCUUAAUGGACACGCAGAUAUUCAGUUUAAGAAAGUCCCAUAUAUAUGUAUAUUUUUUUUUCAAAAAGUAUUGCCUGGGGUUUCAAACUGACUUUUACCCUUUAAGGAGCGAUAUUGCUCAUCUUUUAUCGUCUAGAAUCUUUAAUUAAGUUCAAAACACUUAACUGUCACAGGCAAGUGAAACCCUCUGCGUGCCUCGUGAUAACCCACUGACGAAAAUGUUGUUUUCGUUGUAGAAAUGUGUUCAGUCCCCACUUCGAAAAAAAUGUGUGCCCUCUUUGGUUAGCAGCAGCUUUGAAAGCUCGAACUUGCUCAGUUCCGACGGAGUUUGAAAAUUAAAACGUUCCGUAGAACAGUUUGUAAAUGCACAAUUAUAUAAACACGUGAAAACCUUUCCGUACUUUUACUGGUUUCAGUUCGCCUGUCAAACCCAUUCCAAGGCUGCAAAACAAAAAAACCCUUUUGGAAUCAAGUUUGUUUCAUGCCGAACAAUACUGAAAUUACACGUCAUCAGUAGAUAGUCUUCCUGUUCCUUUUUUUUGUCCAUCUUCCGUUGUUUCGAAAACACUGCCCUUGAUAAAUAACAUGGCCAGGCAGAAACGCCUGCCCACUUCCGCAACAAGUUGACGUUAAUGAGAUAAUCUUAUGUCCAGUUCAGCAAAUCUUGACGUGAAGACAAACCAAUCUCAAGUGCCAUCAUUCGCGCUCUUACACUCAGGAAACCCGUUAAGUGCACCAUCUUGAUUGGCUUUUUCUUCUUUCGUUUUCUUCCCCCCACGCUUUUGAACUGUUAUUUGUCAGGUUUAAACUAAACCGCAAAUAAAUUCGAGAUGUUUCGUUGUCUAGAAUGGAAAGUUCCAUGAGAGAAUGGUAGCUGAGGCUUUUAGGGAAUUUUUUCGUAGCUAAACCUGAUGUUACCUACCACAACACGGUUCGUAUUAUCAUCAUUUUUUUAAGCUAUUUACUCGCAGAUCUUGCCAUAGUGCCCUUAACUGAUGGUUCUCGUUUUUCUCACUGUCUGUCUGCUGGACAACGUAUCGAUAUUGUAAGGUGAAUUUAUCCCGUGAUCUCCUGGGAUUUUACUUUGAAAACAAAACAAACCACUGAAGUUUAGUCAAAAUAUGUUAAGCCGACAAGGGUACGAAAACAAGGGUUUUUGUUAUGGUUUAGUGUAAUCUUGUGGCAGUCCAACACGUAUGCUAUAUGUGUGGUGAAGCCAAGCUAAAUUUGUUCAAAUUUGUCUUUGCUUUUUAUUUCGUUACAUUUCGAUAAAUAUGUCGUAAUCGAAACUCUUUUGUGGUGUUGUAAAUCGGAUCUCGCUCGAAGUAGCUGCGUUUUAAAAGCUUGUAAUAUGCCUGGAUUCAUUUUGUUUGUUUCAGCCUAUUUUUCUAACCUGGGAAAACUCUGAAAAGUGAUAUUAAUUUCAAGAGAUCAAAACACAGAUAAUUUUUCGCAUCGAGUGCCUAGUUUGAAUUUGUUUUGUUUUUGAUUUUCCUCUCGCAAUCAGUACUGCUGCCCCGCGAUUUCGAGGGCUGAGAAGAUAAGUUAUUGGGUCAAAACACGAAAACAAAAGGCUAAUUUUCCUAAUUUUAGAGUUAUAGUGUCGUAAUAAUGUGUGAUUAUGUUGUGGCCAAAUUUCUGCGAGUGCUGAAUCAGCACACGACAGCAUCACAUGCCGAAACACUUGGGAUUAUUCAUUUUCGAAGUAGCAACAUCAAACGUCAUCGAAGAGCAUGAUAUACUCUGAUAUCAGAAGACGAAAGCGUCAACUCUGAUCACCCAGAAUUUCAGUGAGUUUAUAAUAAGCUUCUUAAAAGGUCUUGAUCUUUUUUGUAUUGGAUUUUCCCCGCACGUUUCCAUGCGGCUUUUCCGCAGGUGAAAUGAAAUUGGAAGAUUGCCAUCAUUAUAUAAUUGUACGUAACGUAACCAUGACAUUUUCCUAAAUGCAGUAAAUUCUGUGUAGAAUUUACAUAAAACUCUCUUCCGAUCGCAACUGUUUCACAAAAAACAUAUUAAAAAAAAAAAAAAGAAUUGGAGGGACUUUAACUUCAGUAUUUAUGAUCUGGAUAAAGAUGCAAAAAUCACGUCGCGGUCGGAGACCGUAUUGUAAUACUGCUUUGUUCAAAGUUUGUGCCAAUGUUUAUCUUUUUGCGUUUUCUCUAUUCAACAAAACGAAAGACAGGCAAUUUUGGCGAGAUGCCAUCUAUAUUUGCCUAAGACACACACUUAAGAAAGUCUUAACUUCCAUGUGGUUUGUCCACCGUAUCUAAUACGAAAAUCCACCCACAAUAUGAUGUUAAAACUUAACACGUCAAUUUGAAGUCAUGUUUAUAAACGUACUCGUAUUUUCGUAAUUUGCUCUGUUGUGCGCCCACGGUGGAAACCCAUUUAAAUUUGCUCGAAUGUUUCAAGUGAUCAAAUUUUUUUUUUGUGAGUGCAUUCGUUGAGUUGAUGUCUAGGUACCCUUCUAGUUGCAGAUCUUGUGUGUUUUGUCUUGUACAGGCUCGUCGCUCUAUUGUUUACUUUAGACCUGUGGGUCUAUAGGAAAUUACCAAGGUCGCGCUCAUAAUUUUGGCGACAUUUAGAAAGUGGAAAACACAAUUCAUGAGUUAAUUUGACAAAUAUAGCAUAAAAGGGGGUUCCUUUUUGUGUUCAAGCAACCGUAAAAUAAAAGGCCUGGCAUUCAUCAAACGGUCAGCCAAUCAGUGUCCGUCUGGUGCUGUCAAUCAAAAACCGGGCUAACAAAGGGCAAUAAAGUCGUGUGUUAGGCACGAGCGUUCGUUAGACCAUUUUAAAAGGCAGCGGCGUCAUAACACACAACAAAAAAAGCCAUCGUCCCGAAGUACAGAUGAGUUUCUUCCAAGGAGCAAGUUUCUGGAUGGCGUCGGCUUUUCUUAUUCCCACAGACGAAUCUCCGACCCGUAGGAGAGCGUGCAUUUUAGUUGGGAGAGAGCUUCGGAAGAUCGCCGAUGACCUUGAAGCCUCCGCAAGAACCGAGCAAGUUAAAGAACAAGACAUUGUUGUCGGAGCGAUGAAGACGGUGUGCGUGGUCGCUGGAGUUGUGUUCCUCGGCAGAGCUGUUUGGAAAUUUCUGAACACUUGAGAAGUUACAUGUUACACAAACUAACGAGAUCUUACGUCUUAGAGGCUUGCUCUCUCCGAAGAUGGAACGAAUCGCUCGAAGAAAUUAUUUUUAAACUACGCAACAUGACUCUUGAUUGCCUCGAGUGACAUGACAUCAGUUGUUGGCCUUCGUGUUUGAUUUCCAUCGACUGCUGAUCGUGUUACAUCGCUUCAUUGUUGACAAAUACAAGAUUAAAAGCCACUAAAGCCCGCACUCGGGAAAUCGCAGGAGCGACUUAUCCGUUCUCCAUAACAACAGGGCAAAGCAAGUCAACUGCUGUUUUUUCAUCCUAAAGCGUAGUUGGACAAGAACUUCGUUUUACAGAACUGAAGGUUUGAUUUUGUAUUACAGGCAUCCGCUGGCGUCUAAGAGACAGUAAGAUUCAAAUGCAGACGUUUGAUCUCGAAUAGUUUGCACCGGCUGUAUAUUGCUAAGCUUGCAUUGUAAAGAUUCGUUGUCGCCUAAGGGAUCGAUGUUAUUGUGUCGUUUCGUUAUCACUGCUGACUGGCAUGAUUAGAUAAUUGAUAGACUGUGACUCGUGGAACUAUUAUUAAUAUUGCUCUUUGCGAAGACACGCGCUUAUCGGGAAGGUUAGAAAAAAAAAAAAA
This is a long non-coding RNA of Orbicella faveolata, 6685 nucleotides long. The record is from RefSeq and is a predicted model, not a curated record. NCBI's taxonomy places the organism in Eukaryota, Metazoa, Cnidaria, Anthozoa, Scleractinia, Merulinidae.